UUUAGAGUUUGAUCCAUGGCUCAGGACGAACGCUGGCGGCGUGCCUAACACAUGCAAGUCGUGCGGACCUGGGUGGGGCAACUCAUCCAGGUUAGCGGCGAACGGGUGAGUAACACGUGAGCAACCUACCCAGGGGAGGGGGACAACCCGGGGAAACCUGGGCUAAUACCCCAUGAGGCAGCGGCCCCGCAUGGGGCCAGUGUGAAAGGAGGCCUCUGCGCAAGCAAGCCUCCGCCUCUGGAUGGGCUCGCGGCCUAUCAGCUCGUUGGUGAGGUAACGGCUCACCAAGGCGAUGACGGGUAGCUGGCGUGAGAGCGCGACCAGCCACACCGGCACUGAGACACGGGCCGGACUCCUACGGGAGGCAGCAGUGGGGAAUCUUGCGCAGUGGGCGCAAGCCUGACGCAGCGACGCCGUGUGCGGGAGGAAGCCCUUCGGGGUGUAAACCGCUGCCAGGGGGGAAGAAAAUACUGGGGUCGAACAGGCCCUCGGUAUUGACGUACCCCCAGAGAAGUCCGCAU
This 521-nucleotide ribosomal RNA is filed under the name uncultured bacterium. Its description in RNAcentral is "bacterial SSU rRNA". It matches the Rfam family "Bacterial small subunit ribosomal RNA", at positions 1 to 497 of the family's 1533-position model. The record is from RNAcentral.